UCUCCUGGAAAACGGGUGGUAAUGCCGGAUGCUCCAGUUGGAUGCAUGGUCUUCUGGGAAAGAUUCAUCGGUAUGGGAUGGGGUCGCGUCCUAUCAGCUUGAUGGCGGGGUAACGGCCCACCAUGGCUUCGACGGGUAGCCGGCCUGAGAGGGCGACCGGCCACAUUGGGACUGAGAUACGGCCCAGACUCCUACGGGAGGCAGCAGUGGGGAAUAUUGCACAAUGGGCGCAAGCCUGAUGCAGCGACGCCGCGUGCGGGAUGACGGCCUUCGGGUUGUAAACCGCUUUUGACUGGGAGCAAGCCCUUCGGGGUGAGUGUACCUUUCGAAUAAGCACCGGCUAACUACGUGCCAGCAGCCGCGGUAAUACGUAGGGUGCAAGCGUUAUCCGGAAUUAUUGGGCGUAAAGGGCUCGUAGGCGGUUCGUCGCGUCCGGUGUGAAAGUCCAUCGCUUAACGGUGGAUCCGCGCCGGGUACGGGCGGGCUUGAGUGCGGUAGGGGAGACUGGAAUUCCCGGUGUAACGGUGGAAUGUGUAGAUAUC
This 542-nucleotide ribosomal RNA is filed under the name Bifidobacterium adolescentis. Its description in RNAcentral is "bacterial SSU rRNA". It matches the Rfam family "Bacterial small subunit ribosomal RNA", at positions 146 to 698 of the family's 1533-position model. The record is from RNAcentral. Lineage: Bacteria; Bacillati; Actinomycetota; Actinomycetes; Bifidobacteriales; Bifidobacteriaceae.